UUUUCCAAAGUUCAAAACCCCAAUUUAUUUACACCGAAGCCAUUCAUAACUCAGUUCUGACUUUGGCCCGAAAUAAUAUCAAUCACCCAACAUUGACAACAAAUAAUCCAAUCAAUUUUAUGAUUCUAACAACAAUAACAUCAGUCACAACAUGAUCAUACACACAAUUCAACAAUUAACAAAUAUCACAAUGAUCAUGAACAUAGAGAAGAAAACACC
RNAcentral lists this long non-coding RNA (219 nucleotides) under Lathyrus oleraceus (garden pea). Its description in RNAcentral is "Pisum sativum (pea) long non-coding RNA (PSAT_LNC026696)". The record is from RNAcentral. Lineage: Eukaryota; Viridiplantae; Streptophyta; Magnoliopsida; Fabales; Fabaceae.